Molecule: ribosomal RNA, 638 nt
Filed under: uncultured bacterium
Lineage: Bacteria
Description: bacterial SSU rRNA
Rfam family: Bacterial small subunit ribosomal RNA (bases 1-543)
Source: RNAcentral
CCUACGGGAGGCAGCAGUGGGGAAUUUUGGACAAUGGGCGCAAGCCUGAUCCAGCAAUGCCGCGUGAGUGAAGAAGGCCUUCGGGUUGUAAAGCUCUUUUGUCAGGGAAGAAACGGUUCGGGUUAAUACCUUAGGCUAAUGACGGUACCUGAAGAAUAAGCACCGGCUAACUACGUGCCAGCAGCCGCGGUAAUACGUAGGGUGCAAGCGUUAAUCGGAAUUACUGGGCGUAAAGCGUGCGCAGGCGGUUGUGCAAGACAGAUGUGAAAUCCCCGGGCUCAACCUGGGAAUUGCAUUUGUGACUGUACGGCUAGAGUGUGUCAGAGGGGGGUAGAAUUCCACGUGUAGCAGUGAAAUGCGUAGAGAUGUGGAGGAAUACCGAUGGCGAAGGCAGCCCCCUGGGAUAACACUGACGCUCAUGCACGAAAGCGUGGGGAGCAAACAGGAUUAGAUACCCUGGUAGUCCCACGACCUAACGACUGUCUACUAGUUGUCGGUUCGUUAUUGUACUUAGUACGUACAGCUACGCGUGAGUAGACCGCCGUCGGGAGGUACGGUCGCGAGAAGUUAAACGUAACAAAGUAGUAAGUUAGUACGGACGUGAGACGUAGACCGACGGACGACGACGAGGGAGGAGG